Molecule: ribosomal RNA, 305 nt
Filed under: uncultured bacterium
Lineage: Bacteria
Description: bacterial SSU rRNA
Rfam family: Bacterial small subunit ribosomal RNA
Source: RNAcentral
CCUACGGGACGCAGCAGUGGGGGAUAUUGCACAAUGGGGGGAACCCUGAUGCAGCGACGCCGCGUGGGUGAAGAAGCGCCUCGGCGCGUAAAGCCCUGUCAGCAGGGAAGAAAAUGACGGUACCUGAAGAAGAAGCCCCGGCUAACUACGUGCCAGCAGCCGCGGUAAUACGUAGGGGGCAAGCGUUAUCCGGAUUUACUGGGUGUAAAGGGGGCGCAGACGGCGAUGCAAGCCAGAAGUGAAAGCCCGCGGCUCAACUGCGGGACUGCUUUUGGAACUAUCUAGCUAGAUUGCAGGAGAGGUAA